Molecule: long non-coding RNA, 367 nt
Organism: Mus pahari (shrew mouse)
Lineage: Eukaryota; Metazoa; Chordata; Mammalia; Rodentia; Muridae
Exons: 3
Source: RefSeq, a predicted model, not a curated record
AACAUCGCUAGCUGUGAGUUGUUAGUUCAAAUUACCCUCCUGAAGCUCUGAGGAUGGUAGUCAUUGAAGGAUUUCAGAACUUAAAUUCGACCAUAAGGGGCAGGAUGGUAGGCAAAGCUGCUUCGGUGGGUAGUCGCAAUGAUAAAGUGAGCUGAGGUCUGAGAAACCAUGUGAGCGUUGCCUGGCACAUGGGAAGCAGAUGGCAGGACGCAUGUGUCUGGAAAAUGUGUGUGGAGAGAAACACCAAGAAAAAAAAGACAACGGAAUUAGUCCCUUAUAAACCACACAGAAUGGAAUUCAUCAUUUAUGAAACACAUGCCUAAAAAGGUCUUUGAGUGGCUACCUCAAUUUAGCUAUGUGAAGUUUU